Molecule: ribosomal RNA, 578 nt
Filed under: Ligilactobacillus salivarius
Lineage: Bacteria; Bacillati; Bacillota; Bacilli; Lactobacillales; Lactobacillaceae
Description: bacterial SSU rRNA
Rfam family: Bacterial small subunit ribosomal RNA
Source: RNAcentral
GAUGGAGAAACUCGCCUCGAGUGAAGAAGGUGUCAGCGAUUGCUAAAAUCUCGUUGUUAGAGAAGAACACGAGUGAGAGUAACUGUUCAUUCGAUGACGGUAUCUAACCAGCAAGUCACGGCUAACUACGUGCCAGCAGCCGCGGUAAUACGUAGGUGGCAAGCGUUGUCCGGAUUUAUUGGGCGUAAAGGGAACGCAGGCGGUCUUUUAAGUCUGAUGUGAAAGCCUUCGGCUUAACCGGAGUAGUGCAUUGGAAACUGGAAGACUUGAGUGCAGAAGAGGAGAGUGGAACUCCAUGUGUAGCGGUGAAAUGCGUAGAUAUAUGGAAGAACACCAGUGGCGAAAGCGGCUCUCUGGUCUGUAACUGACGCUGAGGUUCGAAAGCGUGGGUAGCAAACAGGAUUAGAUACCCUGGUAGUCCACGCCGUAAACGAUGAAUGCUAGGUGUUGGAGGGUUUCCGCCCUUCAGUGCCGCAGCUAACGCAAUAAGCAUUCCGCCUGGGGAGUACGACCGCAAGGUUGAAACUCAAAGGAAUUGACGGGGGCCCGCACAAGCGGUGGAGCAUGUGGUUUAAUUC